Molecule: ribosomal RNA, 417 nt
Filed under: Limosilactobacillus oris
Lineage: Bacteria; Bacillati; Bacillota; Bacilli; Lactobacillales; Lactobacillaceae
Description: bacterial SSU rRNA
Rfam family: Bacterial small subunit ribosomal RNA
Source: RNAcentral
GCGCAGCCUGAUGGAGCACACCGCGUGAGUGAAGAAGGGUUUCGGCUCGUAAAACUCUGUUGUUGGAGAAGAACGUGCGUAAGAGUAACUGUUUACGCAGUGACGGUAUCCAACCAGAAAGUCACGGCUAACUACGUGCCAGCAGCCGCGGUAAUACGUAGGUGGCAAGCGUUAUCCGGAUUUAUUGGGCGUAAAGCGAGCGCAGGCGGUUGCUUAGGUCUGAUGUGAAAGCCUUCGGCUUAACCGAAGAAGUGCAUCGGAAACCGGGCGACUUGAGUGCAGAAGAGGACAGUGGAACUCCAUGUGUAGCGGUGGAAUGCGUAGAUAUAUGGAAGAACACCAGUGGCGAAGGCGGCUGUCUGGUCUGCAACUGACGCUGAGGCUCGAAAGCAUGGGUAGCGAACAGGAUUAGAUACC